AGAGUUUGAUCAUGGCUCAGAACGAACGCUGGCGGCGCGCUUAACACAUGCAAGUCGAACGGUCCCGAUAAAGCCGUAAGGUGAUAUCGGGAUAGUGGCAAACGGGUGAGUAAUACGUGGAUAAUCUACCUUUGAGUGGGGGAUAACUCUACGAAAGUGGAGCUAAUACCGCGUAAGACUACAGAAUCGCAUGAUUCAGUAGUAAAAGGCUUCGGUUUACCGGAGUCGCUUAAGGAUGAGUCCGCGCCUGAUUAGCUAGUUGGUAAGGUAAUAGCUUACCAAGGCAACGAUCAGUAGCCGGCCUGAAAGGGUGUUCGGCCACAUUGGAAUUGAGAUACGGUCCAGACUCCUACGGGAGGCAGCAGUGGGGAAUUUUGCGCAAUGGGGGAAACCCUGACGCAGUGACGCCGCGUGAACGAUGAAGUCCUUCGGGAUGUAAAGUUCUGUCGGGCGGGAAGAAUCUUUCCCCGAUGCAAAUCGGGGAAAAAUGACGGUACCGCCAGAGGAAGCACCGGCUAAUUCCGUGCCAGCAGCCGCGGUAACACGGAGGGUGCAAGCGUUGUUCGGAAUUACUAGGCGUAAAGAGCGUGUAGGUGGUUAGCUAAGUCGGAUGUGAAAAUCCCAAGCUUAACUUGGAACGUGCAUUCGAAACUGGUUAACUUGAGUGUAGGAGAGGAGAGCGGAAUUCCUAGUGUAGCGGUGAAAUGCGUAGAUAUUAGGAAGAACACCGGUGGCGAAGGCGGCUCUCUGGCCUAAAACUGACACUGAGACGCGAAAGCGUGGGUAGCGAACAGGAUUAGAUACCCUGGUAGUCCACGCCGUAAACGAUGGGCAUUAGGUGUAGGAGGUAUCCAAUCCUUCUGUGCCGAAGUUAACGCAUUAAAUGCCCCGCCUGGGGAGUACGACCGCAAGGUUGAAACUCAAA
This 925-nucleotide ribosomal RNA is filed under the name uncultured delta proteobacterium. RNAcentral describes it as "bacterial SSU rRNA". It matches the Rfam family "Bacterial small subunit ribosomal RNA", at positions 8 to 905 of the family's 1533-position model. Lineage: Bacteria; Deltaproteobacteria. The record is from RNAcentral.